RNAcentral lists this ribosomal RNA (278 nucleotides) under uncultured bacterium. RNAcentral's name for it is "partial 16S ribosomal RNA". It matches the Rfam family "Bacterial small subunit ribosomal RNA", at positions 355 to 625 of the family's 1533-position model. The record is from RNAcentral.
UGGGGAAUAUUGCACAAUGGGCGCAAGCCUGAUGCAGCCAUGCCGCGUGUGUGAAGAAGGCCUUCGGGUUGUAAAGCACUUUCAGCGAGGAGGAAGGGUUCAGUGUUAAUAGCACUGUUCAUUGACGUUACUCGCAGAAGAAGCACCGGCUAACUCCGUGCCAGCAGCCGCGGUAAUACGGAGGGUGCAAGCGUUAAUCGGAAUUACUGGGCGUAAAGCGCACGCAGGCGGUUUGUUAAGUCAGAUGUGAAAUCCCCGCGCUUAACGUGGGAACUGCA